This 253-nucleotide ribosomal RNA is filed under the name uncultured bacterium. RNAcentral describes it as "partial 16S ribosomal RNA". It matches the Rfam family "Bacterial small subunit ribosomal RNA", at positions 524 to 776 of the family's 1533-position model. The record is from RNAcentral.
UACGUAGGCGGCGAGCAUUAUCCGGAUUUAUUGGGCGUAAAGCGAGUGUAGGUGGUUUUUCAAGUCGGAUGUGAAAUUUCCCGGCUCAACUGGGAAGGGUCAUUCGAUACUGUUAAACUGGAGGGCAGUAGAGGGAGGUGGAAUUCCCGGUGUAGUGGUGAAAUGCGUAGAUAUCGGGAGGAACACCAGUGGCGAAAGCGGCCUCCUGGACUGUACCUGACACUGAGGCUCUAAAGCGUGGGUAGCAAACAGG